Molecule: long non-coding RNA, 1200 nt
Organism: Brienomyrus brachyistius
Lineage: Eukaryota; Metazoa; Chordata; Actinopteri; Osteoglossiformes; Mormyridae
Exons: 3
Source: RefSeq, a predicted model, not a curated record
AGCUCGCUAACUUCCGCCGCCCAGCUGCCCCGGCACCGCCGAGCAGGCACAGUGGAUAAGGGCCGGGCAGCGCGGUGGGCUCAGCCGACGUCCACCAAACCGACGGGUCAUGUUCGCUUCGACUGUGCUUCCUCGGUGAUCUGGAACCGAGCACAGCAAAUACAGGUGUGGUGAAACUUUGGACAGAAAGCCAGCUCAAGGGGAAAUGGCAUCAGUGCAGGCGGUGCCAAAUGCCUGAACUAACUCCCGAGGAGAGGGAGCUCCGUCAUAGGACUGACCUGGACUCCACUGAAGGCAAUAGCAGUGAAGAGGAUGUUGGCAGAAUUGGACAAUACUAUGAGUAAUUCUGUCUACUGCUUUAGGGGGUGCUGUUCUGGAGCACAUUUUGCCACUGGCUCAUUCCACCACAGUGUGUUUUUACACUGCUGUGCAUCGUUCCUGCCUACUCCCAUGAGCCACUACACCGCCUCCCAAUGUGCCACUCCUCACUCCUAUCUAUCUGUAUUACCACCACUAAUUUAUUAUUAUCUCUACACAUUUAUUUCUAUAAUAUUCCAGUAUUCUGUUUUCAGGAUAUUCUAUUUGUGUACUGUGUACUUUUUAGAUUUUCUUUCGCAUAACGUUUACUUGUUUGUGCUGUGUAUAGACCUGCUAUAUUUGCACUUUGUCUGGCACUGCGUGUCUAUGCCGCUGUAUGUGCCAGGAUUUCCACAUUUAACAGUUACGGUGCUUUGCCUUUGUGUAACAGUAUGGGUGCAGUAGCCUAUACUGCUGUCUUACUGAUCCCUGUAAGUACAGAUGCAAUUGUGAUGCUGUUAACACUUGAAGAUACUAUUUACUUUUGAAUGAUUUAUGAGUGGCCCUUACUGGUAUUUAAGUACCUCUGUACCCUCUGACAUCCUACUUGGGCCCUGGGCUUUGGGGUGGGACACAAAUGCUCCUCAUGGGUAAUAUUUUGCCUACUGUCGGAGGGCUCUUCAGUUAAUUUUGCCAAUUGCAGGGGGGGGGGGAUCUCCCCCUUGGUUAAUAUUGCCGGUCCACAUACACAUUGACCCCCUGGGAAAUUGGCCAGUAUGCCAGAUGGCCAGUCCAGCUAUGCUACGUACCGAGGUCUGCAAGUACUAUUUGGCAGAAAAAACUGCAGCUUACAAUUUGUGCGUUUGAUUUUUUCAGUAGGCAAAUGAAUAAACGCACACAUGG